GAUGAACGCUAGCGGCAGGCUUAACACAUGCAAGUCGAGGGGUAGAAGUCUUCGGACUUUGAGACCGGCGCACGGGUGCGUAACGCGUAUGCAAUCUGCCUUGUACAAAGGGAUAGCCCAGAGAAAUUUGGAUUAAUACCUUAUAGUAUAUAGAUGUGGCAUCACAAUUAUAUUAAAGAUUUAUCGGUACAAGAUGAGCAUGCGUCCCAUUAGCUAGUUGGUAUGGUAACGGCAUACCAAGGCAAUGAUGGGUAGGGGUCCUGAGAGGGGGAUCCCCCACACUGGUACUGAGACACGGACCAGACUCCUACGGGAGGCAGCAGUGAGGAAUAUUGGUCAAUGGGCGCAAGCCUGAGCCAGCCAUGCCGCGUGCAGGAUGAAGCAUCUAUGGUGUGUAAACUGCUUUUGUACGGGAAGAAACACCUCUUCGUGAAGAGGCUUGACGGUACCGUAAGAAUAAGGAUCGGCUAACUCCGUGCCAGCCGCCGCUGUAA
This 494-nucleotide ribosomal RNA is filed under the name uncultured bacterium. RNAcentral describes it as "partial 16S ribosomal RNA". It matches the Rfam family "Bacterial small subunit ribosomal RNA", at positions 28 to 523 of the family's 1533-position model. The record is from RNAcentral.